RNAcentral lists this ribosomal RNA (423 nucleotides) under uncultured Glomeraceae. RNAcentral describes it as "SSU rRNA". It matches the Rfam family "Eukaryotic small subunit ribosomal RNA", at positions 459 to 886 of the family's 1831-position model. The record is from RNAcentral. Lineage: Eukaryota; Fungi; Glomeromycota; Glomeromycetes; Glomerales; Glomeraceae.
GGGAGGUAGUGACAAUAAAUAACAAUACAGGGUUCUUUUGGAUCUUGUAAUUGGAAUGAGUACAAUUUAAAUCUCUUAACGAGGAACAAUUGGAGGGCAAGUCUGGUGCCAGCAGCCGCGGUAAUUCCAGCUCCAAUAGCGUAUAUUAAAGUUGUUGCAGUUAAAAAGCUCGUAGUUGAAUUUCGGGGUUAGUAGGUUGGUCGUGCCUAUGGUAUGUACUGGCUUUACUGAUUCCUCCUUCUUGAAGAACUGUAAUGUCAUUAAUUUGGUGUUGCAGGGAAACAGGACUGUUACUUUGAAAAAAUUAGAGUGUUUAAAGCAGGCUCACGCUUGAAUACAUUAGCAUGGAAUAAUGAAAUAGGACGUUUGAUUCUAUUUUGUUGGUUUCUAGGAUCGACGUAAUGAUUAAUAGGGAUAGUUGGG